Long non-coding RNA from Bos taurus (domestic cattle), 4187 nucleotides. The record is from Ensembl. NCBI's taxonomy places the organism in Eukaryota, Metazoa, Chordata, Mammalia, Artiodactyla, Bovidae.
UGGGGGACGCGGCCGAGCGGAAACGCUGCACAGAGGAGCCUCAGCGAACCAAGAAAAAAGAGAAAGUGGCAACGAAAACAAGGGCAAAUUGAACCCUCCUCGGGGAUUUCCAGUGAACUAACCCGACUCGGACAUUCAAUAAAUACAUCGUCCCUAAUGAGUGUGCGUGCGCGUGCACCCCGCACCCGGCCGCCCUGGACGCAGACGCGGAGCCGCCGUGGUGCUGGGGGCUGCCCUUCUCCGGCGAAUAAUUCCUCUGCCGCGCGCAGUCAGUUUCGGUGGCGGGGGUGGGGGCUUGGUUAGGUCCGGAGCUCCCCAGCUUAGCCGCAGCCUUGAAGCCCUUGCGAGGUCUCGUGAUGAAUGGUGGGCGCGGAGCACUUGUGUGUGAUGUGGUCCCUCUCCUGUGUGCAGGGGGAGAGAUGCCCUCCUAGGUGGGUUUUAGCGGAUCCAUUAUUGCGAAGAUAUAGACCUGAAGGGCAGUGGUAACCAAACCCCAGACAGAACGGAUUUUUACCUCUGCGUCCCCUUAAGGUUCCCUUUCCUAUUUAUGUAUGCGUGUAUGUAUAUAUGGAAGAUGGAACACAGAUUUCAUUCAAUAAAUCUGAGAUCUCCAGGUGCAGGCGUUUGAAUAGUCGGUGCCAGCACCCCGUGUUUUCUUUUCCUGCCGAUUUUGCUUGGAUCCGACUCAAAAACCGAGAGAGUCUCGUGGUUUUGUUUACACUGAAUGGGGAGGGUAGGAACAGAGCCAUGGGGCCCCUUUCAUUAAUAUACAGUGAGGAUUUUGUCUAAAUUACCGCUAUGAAUUUCACAGUACACGCUUUCAAAAGCAGUCUCAGGUGGCCUGAUGAAACGGGAGAGCGCCUCCGCAAACACAUCCACUUUCUUUCUUUUCAAGGAGGGUGUGUGCGCGUAUGGGAAGCCCCCCAAAACGCCGUGCUCCUCGAAAUCAGAAAUGCACUUCUGUUGCGAGCUGGGUCCCCUCGGUCCUCCGCCUCCGCGUACUUAGUUCUCCAGUCGCUCCCCAGCCCCACCCAUCCGCCCCCUCCCUCUGCCGAGUGUGAUUGUUUUGUCUGGAAAAAAAAAAAAAAUCCAAAGUAUAUAACAAGGGGAGAACAGUUAGUGCUGACUUUCAUUUGCAUACAUUUUCAUAUAUUUUGGUGAAAAUAAUAGACGAGUGGAGAGCCGGGCUUAGAGGAGUCAGAGGAAAGAGAAGACUGAGGAGGUACCGCUUCUGGGGAGUUGAGAAUAUGUCUUUUCCCCCCACCAGUCCCUUAUUUAUUUUUUUUUUAAUAAAACCUCUUCCUUUAUUUUAAUAUCUAAUCCUGGAAGUUUGCUCGGCCUUAAUGCUAUUUGACUUCCAAGAAGAACUGAAAUAAAUUAUGUUCAGAGCUCCUUAGAAGAAAUACCCUUACAGGUUGAAAGUGUCGUUACCUCCACAGGGACUUCCUAGUUGCCCUCUGCAGGAGAUCAUAAGACAUCCCAGGAAAUGGAAGAGCAGUUUUGCUGAGUAAAUGUGAAACAGGCUUCGGGAUGGAGAGAAAAAUCAGCUGUUCAGCUCCCUCUCUGCUCUCCAGUGAAAGCCCUGAGACUGGAAAUCUCUACGAUUCUUCUCCAGUGCUUUUCAAGUUUUAAUCGAAGAACAUCUUUGUGAUCAGAUUAACCAAAUAUUGACCCCCAAAAGGAAGCUAAGACUCAGAGAAGAUCGGUAGAGACCUUUCAAGCCUCUAAUAUGCUGCUGCCUCUUAGCUGUUGGAAUCAGAGCAUACUUGUUGCAAGUGGCUACGGUGAGGAAAUGACCAGCUCGAAGCAGAUACUAAUUUUCCCUGCCCCCUCACCCCCACCCCAAUGAGCUGGCACAUGCUGGAGGUGGUGCAUGGCAGAGCUGCGCUGCUCCUAAGAGGUAUGUUUCUGAAGAGAACGGGAAAUGGGCACCGCUGCACACAGGUGUGGUCCUCUGUGGUCCCACCCGUCUUCCCAGAAAGUCCCUGGAGUAGCCACACCUAAGAAAGUGAUCCAAUCAAGAAAACAAAACAUUCCACCCUGCAUCAGGGUCAGCAGUUUAGGAGGUGACGGGAACUGAGUUCUGCGAUAUUGCUGUCGCCAGUGGUGACUUGCACAGAGGAGCCCCUGGAGCCCCUGAGAGCCACACCUGGCCCCUCGGACACCAAACUCAUGGCCGCCUAGCACUCAGAUGACGGGGGAGCUGUGCCUUCUUGGCAGGCAGGACCCUGCCAACAGGUAAAGCUGCUUUCAGCCAACAAUAUUCCCUGUGCCAGGGACUGUGCACGGACUGGGAGAAGAAGUGGAGGACAGACUGUGAUGAUCUCUGACUUUCUGGAGGCUCAGCUGAACUGGGGAGAUGGAUGCUGCAUGAGAGACUAAGCUAACAGAGGAAAUGAUGCUCUGAAGGAAGUGGAAAUGGUGAACAUCAGGGCUGGACUGUUUUGGAUCUGAAGGCAAAGCAAGCACUUUCUGAGGAGAGCACCUUUAAACCAAAUUAACAAUUGUGGUGCUGGAGAAGACUCUUGAGAGUCACUUGGACUACAAGGAGAUCCAACCAGUCAAUCCUAAAAGAAGUCAAACGUGAACAUUCAGUGGAAGGGCCGAUGCUGAAGCUCCAAUACUUUGGUCACCUGAUGCAAAGAGCCAACUCAUUGGAAAAGAGCCUGAUACUGGGAAAGAUUGAAGGCAGGUGGAGUAGGGGACAACAGAGGAUGAGAAAGUUGGAUGGAAUCACUGACUCAAUGGAUAUGAGUUUGAGAAAACUCUGGGAGACGGUGAAGGACAGGAAAGGCUGGCGUGCUGCAGCGUAUGGGGUUGCAGAGUCAGAUGUGUUCAGUCAAAACUGAAGAACAAGAGCAACAACAAUGAAGAGACAGGACCAGCAGGUGGAGAAAGGCAGGAGGCACCUCAGCCUCUCCACAGAGACUGCAGAGCAGUGAGCCGGUCAGGAUGAGACGUCCAGCAGAUGGGAUGCUUCUCACUGCAACGUUGAGGGUGGUCCUUUUAACUCCAUCCGCCCAUUUGAAGGCCAGGCUUCUCCAGAAACACCCUCAACAGACACACCCCGAAAUACAUUUCACCAGCUCUCUGGGCCUCCCUUAGCCCCAUCAAGUUAACCCAUCAUACCAACCAUCACAAAUAACUGUGUGUGAAGGGUGAAAGCCCCAUGUCUCUGAAGCCAGUGGGUGUUCACAAGAGGAUUAUGGGAAGAGGGACAGAAGUGCCUGGAUGUACUGUUCAGAACUGGCAGGACCGGCCUCUAAAAGGAAGACUUAAAAUGAUGUUUUUGACAUCAACACUUUCCCCAAAGUUGAUGUAAGUCCUGGGGUUUUGGCAAAGGCCCACAGGCUACCUCUGACCUGUUGUCUCUUAAAAAAAAUUUUUUUUAUUUAUUAAUUUAUUUUUGGCUGCACUGGGUCUUUGUUGCUACACAGGCUUUUCUCUAGUUGCGGGCUACUCUCUAUUUGUGGUGCAUGGGCUUCUCAUCUGGUGGCUUCCCUUGCCACAGAGCACGGGCUCUAUGGCGUGCAGGCUUCAAUAACUGUGGUGCAUAGCCUCAGUCGUUGCAGCUCAAAGACUCUAGACGGUGAGCUCUGGAGUCAGGGCACAUGGGCUUAGUUGCUCCAUGGCAUGUGGGAUCUUAUUUCCUGGACCAGGGGUCACCUGCACUGGCAGGCAGAUUCUUAACCACUGGACUACCAGGGAAGUCUCUGUUGCCUCCUUUUGUAAGUUAAGAUUCAUGGGAUCGCCAUGGCCACAGCCAUUUGUGGAUGUGUUGUCUACAGCUGCUUUUGGACACAACGUGGAACAGUGUUGAUAAAGACCACAUUGUCUACAAAACCUCAAAGAUUUGCUAUCUGGUUCUUGCAGAAAAAGUUUGCUGACUCUUGAUAUACUUACUCCACCUGAUCCACUGAGCACCUGCUGAAAGUCUACUCCAGGUUGAGAAAUGUGUUUAUAGGAAUGUGAAUAGUGGUCUUCCUUUGGUGAGACGCUGAGGACCUUUGGUGAUGUGUUUUUGUCCCCGGUAAUCAGUACAGGUGCAUUGGUAGCAGGAAGUGAGAAGGAUGCAGUGCAAGAAGUCAUGGUUUGAGAAAAGGUUCUGCUGCGAUUGUCUUGGUGGCAGGUGGUGAAUCAUGGCUGGGCUCUUCCUUUGUCUGCUGCCUGGAGGAGGAGGUGUUAAU